CUCCAUCUGCAGACUGCAAGGACUGGCCGCAUUCAACUUGUAAUGAAACGGGAAAUGGACGAAGACGGUGCCUUUGCGGUUCAACCUUUCAUUGGGAUGGCUCGGCUUUGAAUUGUCUCAAGCUGGACAGUUGGUAAGGUCUCCUGAUAAAAGCAAGCCACUCCCUUUGAUCCUUGGAAUAUCUCUGCCAAUUGGGAUGACCAUUUUGUGCGCUGUAGCUUCGGUUUACACAUGGAGAACAAAGGUGGUGAAGAAGAGAAGAAAA
Molecule: long non-coding RNA, 265 nt
Organism: Hibiscus syriacus
Lineage: Eukaryota; Viridiplantae; Streptophyta; Magnoliopsida; Malvales; Malvaceae
Exons: 3
Source: RefSeq, a predicted model, not a curated record